AAUGCUUUACAGGAAAUCAAUUUUAGUAAGGAAAAUUAGAAAGCCUCUUUUAAGUAAAUAUAAUAAUGUUCAUGAUAAUAAAACAAUAGGAACAUUCCCUCAAAAUUAAAACAAUAUUUAGCGCAUAAGUUUAUAAAUUUCUAUUCACUAACCACUGCUGAUUUAGCAGAAAAAAAUAAGCAGAAAACUUUCAGUCUCUGUUUCCCAAGAAGUUUGGUUCAAUCUACCACUGCCAUUCUUACAAAGGAGCCAUUUCAUGUGUAUUUUGAAUGCCUUGCUUGUUUUCAAAUACAAUGUAAUAACACAUUUGUUCCUGAAAGUCUUAAGAUUGCUUAAAUUGUAUAGGGAAAGAAGGCCUAUAGCCAGACUUUUGAGAAAAGAUAACUGAUAUUAUAGAUUAC
RNAcentral lists this long non-coding RNA (401 nucleotides) under Bos taurus (domestic cattle). RNAcentral's name for it is "long non-coding RNA NONBTAT024066". Lineage: Eukaryota; Metazoa; Chordata; Mammalia; Artiodactyla; Bovidae. The record is from RNAcentral.